UUCCGCCCGAGGGGAGGCUGUGGCGCGGCUCCGCGCCCCGCAAGGGCCUCCUCGGCCCGGGGCCCGCCUCGGGAGCGGGGCCCGGGGCCCCAGGGCUCCCAACCACCCUCCACGGGGAGGAGCGGGAGUCGAGGCCUGCCCAGCGUGUCUUCCCGCUCCCCCCAGGCUUGGGAGGCCUUGUCAUUCUAUUUCCUGCCGUAUUCUGGUUAUUUAUUUUAAUCUAUUAUUCUUUACAGAGAGGGGGUUAUACCUUGCAGGGCCCACGCUUGAGAGCACUUGGAUCCACCUCCAGCACCUCCCUCGAAGUGGAACGGAUUUAAAUGUUGCAGUAAUGGAUACUAAUGCUGGAGUCAGAAAUGUCAUGGCGUUUAUGGAAUUGUGAGUUGCUGAGGCAUGCUACUCUACCACGCCACUGUUGCACAAACCUCGGGAGCCCAAACACGAUGUCAGCGUCUGGACUUUCCAGAAGUCUGUGCCAGCUUUGCAGC
Long non-coding RNA from Apus apus (common swift), 488 nucleotides. RefSeq lists it as uncharacterized. Lineage: Eukaryota; Metazoa; Chordata; Aves; Apodiformes; Apodidae. The record is from RefSeq and is a predicted model, not a curated record. The transcript is spliced from 3 exons.